GGGAAACCGAGUCUUAACUGGGCGUUAAGUUGCAGGGUAUAGACCCGAAACCCGGUGAUCUAGCCAUGGGCAGGUUGAAGGUUGGGUAACACUAACUGGAGGACCGAACCGACUAAUGUUGAAAAAUUAGCGGAUGACUUGUGGCUGGGGGUGAAAGGCCAAUCAAACCGGGAGAUAGCUGGUUCUCCCCGAAAGCUAUUUAGGUAGCGCCUCGUGAAUUCAUCUCCGGGGGUAGAGCACUGUUUCGGCAAGGGGGUCAUCCCGACUUACCAACCCGAUGCAAACUGCGAAUACCGGAGAAUGUUAUCACGGGAGACACACGGCGGGUGCUAACGUCCGUCGUGAAGAGGGAAACAACCCAGACCGCCAGCUAAGGUCCCAAAGUCAUGGUUAAGUGGGAAACGAUGUGGGAAGGCCCAGACAGCCAGGAUGUUGGCUUAGAAGCAGCCAUCAUUUAAAGAAAGCGUAAUAGCUCACUGGUCGAGUCGGCCUGCGCGGAAGAUGUAACGGGGCUAAACCAUGCACCGAAGCUGCGGCAGCGACACUGUGUGUUGUUGGGUAGGGGAGCGUUCUGUAAGCCUGUGAAGGUGUACUGUGAGGUAUGCUGGAGGUAUCAGAAGUGCGAAUGCUGACAUAAGUAACGAUAAAGCGGGUGAAAAGCCCGCUCGCCGGAAGACCAAGGGUUCCUGUCCAACGUUAAUCGGGGCAGGGUGAGUCGACCCCUAAGGCGAGGCCGAAAGGCGUAGUCGAUGGGAAACAGGUUAAUAUUCCUGUACUUGGUGUUACUGCGAAGGGGGGACGGAGAAGGCUAUGUUGGCCGGGCGACGGUUGUCCCGGUUUAAGCGUGUAGGCUGGUUUUCCAGGCAAAUCCGGAAAAUCAAGGCUGAGGCGUGAUGACGAGGCACUACGGUGCUGAAGCAACAAAUGCCCUGCUUCCAGGAAAAGCCUCUAAGCAUCAGGUAACAUCAAAUCGUACCCCAAACCGACACAGGUGGUCAGGUAGAGAAUACCAAGGCGCUUGAGAGAACUCGGGUGAAGGAACUAGGCAAAAUGGUGCCGUAACUUCGGGAGAAGGCACGCUGAUAUGUAGGUGAAGUCCCUCGCGGAUGGAGCUGAAAUCAGUCGAAGAUACCAGCUGGCUGCAACUGUUUAUUAAAAACACAGCACUGUGCAAACACGAAAGUGGACGUAUACGGUGUGACGCCUGCCCGGUGCCGGAAGGUUAAUUGAUGGGGUCAGCGCAAGCGAAGCUCUUGAUCGAAGCCCCGGUAAACGGCGGCCGUAACUAUAACGGUCCUAAGGUAGCGAAAUUCCUUGUCGGGUAAGUUCCGACCUGCACGAAUGGCGUAAUGAUGGCCAGGCUGUCUCCACCCGAGACUCAGUGAAAUUGAACUCGCUGUGAAGAUGCAGUGUACCCGCGGCAAGACGGAAAGACCCCGUGAACCUUUACUAUAGCUUGACACUGAACAUUGAGCCUUGAUGUGUAGGAUAGGUGGGAGGCUUUGAAGUGUGGACGCCAGUCUGCAUGGAGCCGACCUUGAAAUACCACCCUUUAAUGUUUGAUGUUCUAACGUGGACCCGUGAUCCGGGUUGCGGACAGUGUCUGGUGGGUAGUUUGACUGGGGCGGUCUCCUCCUAAAGAGUAACGGAGGAGCACGAAGGUUGGCUAAUCCUGGUCGGACAUCAGGAGGUUAGUGCAAUGGCAUAAGCCAGCUUGACUGCGAGCGUGACGGCGCGAGCAGGUGCGAAAGCAGGUCAUAGUGAUCCGGUGGUUCUGAAUGGAAGGGCCAUCGCUCAACGGAUAAAAGGUACUCCGGGGAUAACAGGCUGAUACCGCCCAAGAGUUCAUAUCGACGGCGGUGUUUGGCACCUCGAUGUCGGCUCAUCACAUCCUGGGGCUGAAGUAGGUCCCAAGGGUAUGGCUGUUCGCCAUUUAAAGUGGUACGCGAGCUGGGUUUAGAACGUCGUGAGACAGUUCGGUCCCUAUCUGCCGUGGGCGCUGGAGAACUGAGGGGGGCUGCUCCUAGUACGAGAGGACCGGAGUGGACGCAUCACUGGUGUUCGGGUUGUCAUGCCAAUGGCACUGCCCGGUAGCUAAAUGCGGAAGAGAUAAGUGCUGAAAGCAUCUAAGCACGAAACUUGCCCCGAGAUGAGUUCUCCCUGACCCUUUAAGGGUCCUGAAGGAACGUUGAAGACGACGACGUUGAUAGGCCGGGUGUGUAAGCGCAGCGAUGCGUUGAGCUAACCGGUACUAAUGAACCGUGAGGCUUAACCUUACAACGCCGAAGGUGUUU
Molecule: ribosomal RNA, 2294 nt
Filed under: Escherichia coli
Lineage: Bacteria; Pseudomonadati; Pseudomonadota; Gammaproteobacteria; Enterobacterales; Enterobacteriaceae
Description: partial 23S ribosomal RNA
Rfam family: Bacterial large subunit ribosomal RNA
Source: RNAcentral